RNAcentral lists this ribosomal RNA (133 nucleotides) under Alternaria zinniae. RNAcentral's name for it is "partial 5.8S ribosomal RNA". It matches the Rfam family "5.8S ribosomal RNA", at positions 1 to 132 of the family's 154-position model. From Rfam's summary of the family: 5.8S ribosomal RNA (5.8S rRNA) is a component of the large subunit of the eukaryotic ribosome. It is transcribed by RNA polymerase I as part of the 45S precursor that also contains 18S and 28S rRNA. The record is from RNAcentral. Lineage: Eukaryota; Fungi; Ascomycota; Dothideomycetes; Pleosporales; Pleosporaceae.
CAACUUUCAACAACGGAUCUCUUGGUUCUGGCAUCGAUGAAGAACGCAGCGAAAUGCGAUACGUAGUGUGAAUUGCAGAAUUCAGUGAAUCAUCGAAUCUUUGAACGCACAUUGCGCCCUUUGGUAUUCCAAA